UACGUAGGGUGCAAGCGUUGUCCGGAUUUAUUGGGUUUAAAGGGUGCGUAGGUGGCUGAUUAAGUCAUGGGUGAAAGCCCGCAGCUCAACUGUGGAAUUGCCUGUGAUACUGAUUAGCUUGAGUGCGGUUGAGGCAGCUGGAACUGGUGGUGUAGCGGUGAAAUGCAUAGAUACCACCAGGAACACCGAUUGCGAAGGCAGGUUGCUAAGCCGUAACUGACACUGAGGCAUGGUAGCGUGGGGAGCAAACAGG
This 253-nucleotide ribosomal RNA is filed under the name uncultured bacterium. Its description in RNAcentral is "partial 16S ribosomal RNA". It matches the Rfam family "Bacterial small subunit ribosomal RNA", at positions 524 to 776 of the family's 1533-position model. The record is from RNAcentral.